UUGAUGCGCAGACGCAGUUCGGCAUCAUCCAGCGAGAUGGUCAGCGGGGGCUGGUUGUUGCCAUAGAUCACUGCCGGGAUACGGCCAGCGCGACGUUCAGCCCGGGCGGCCCCCUUGCCGGCCUUCGGACGAGCGGUCGCCUUCAAUUCCUUGACGGUCGCCAUUGUUAAGUUCCUCAAGAUUUAAAAGUGAAGGGCCGCAAAGCGGCCCGGG
Molecule: unclassified non-coding RNA, 213 nt
Filed under: Hevea brasiliensis (rubber tree)
Lineage: Eukaryota; Viridiplantae; Streptophyta; Magnoliopsida; Malpighiales; Euphorbiaceae
Source: RNAcentral